GAAUGCUGACAUAAGUAACGAUAAAGCGGGUGAAAAGCCCGCUCGCCGGAAGACCAAGGGUUCCUGUCCAACGUUAAUCGGGGCAGGGUGAGUCGACCCCUAAGGCGAGGCCGAAAGGCGUAGUCGAUGGGAAACGGGUUAAUAUUCCCGUACUUGGUGUUACUGCGAAGGGGGGACGGAGAAGGCUAUGUUGGCCGGGCGACGGUUGUCCCGGUUUAAGCGUGUAGGUGUGUGUUCCAGGUAAAUCCGGUUCACUUUAACACUGAGGCGUGAUGACGAGGCACUACGGUGCUGAAGCAACAAAUGCCCUGCUUCCAGGAAAAGCCUCUAAGCAUCAGGUAACAUCAAAUCGUACCCCAAACCGACACAGGUGGUCAGGUAGAGAAUACCAAGGCGCUUGAGAGAACUCGGGUGAAGGAACUAGGCAAAAUGGUGCCGUAACUUCGGGAGAAGGCACGCUGACACGUAGGUGAAGUGAUUUACUCAUGGAGCUGAAGUCAGUCGAAGAUACCAGCUGGCUGCAACUGUUUAUUAAAAACACAGCACUGUGCAAACACGAAAGUGGACGUAUACGGUGUGACGCCUGCCCGGUGCCGGAAGGUUAAUUGAUGGGGUCAGCGCAAGCGAAGCUCCUGAUCGAAGCCCCGGUAAACGGCGGCCGUAACUAUAACGGUCCUAAGGUAGCGAAAUUCCUUGUCGGGUAAGUUCCGACCUGCACGAAUGGCGUAAUGAUGGCCAGGCUGUCUCCACCCGAGACUCAGUGAAAUUGAACUCGCUGUGAAGAUGCAGUGUACCCGCGGCAAGACGGAAAGACCCCGUGAACCUUUACUAUAGCUUGACACUGAACAUUGAGCCUUGAUGUGUAGGAUAGGUGGGAGGCUUUGAAGUGUGGACGCCAGUCUGCAUGGAGCCGACCUUGAAAUACCACCCUUUAAUGUUUGAUGUUCUAACGUGGACCCGUAAUCCGGGUUGCGGACAGUGUCUGGUGGGUAGUUUGACUGGGGCGGUCUCCUCCUAAAGAGUAACGGAGGAGCACGAAGGUUGGCUAAUCCUGGUCGGACAUCAGGAGGUUAGUGCAAUGGCAUAAGCCAGCUUGACUGCGAGCGUGACGGCGCGAGCAGGUGCGAAAGCAGGUCAUAGUGAUCCGGUGGUUCUGAAUGGAAGGGCCAUCGCUCAACGGAUAAAAGGUACUCCGGGGAUAACAGGCUGAUACCGCCCAAGAGUUCAUAUCGACGGCGGUGUUUGGCACCUCGAUGUCGGCUCAUCACAUCCUGGGGCUGAAGUAGGUCCCAAGGGUAUGGCUGUUCGCCAUUUAAAGUGGUACGCGAGCUGGGUUUAGAACGUCGUGAGACAGUUCGGUCCCUAUCUGCCGUGGGCGCUGGAGAACUGAGGGGGGCUGCUCCUAGUACGAGAGGACCGGAGUGGACGCAUCACUGGUGUUCGGGUUGUCAUGCCAAUGGCACUGCCCGGUAGCUAAAUGCGGAAGAGAUAAGUGCUGAAAGCAUCUAAGCACGAAACUUGCCCCGA
RNAcentral lists this ribosomal RNA (1527 nucleotides) under Salmonella enterica subsp. enterica serovar Derby. RNAcentral's name for it is "partial 23S ribosomal RNA". It matches the Rfam family "Bacterial large subunit ribosomal RNA", at positions 1292 to 2802 of the family's 2925-position model. Lineage: Bacteria; Pseudomonadati; Pseudomonadota; Gammaproteobacteria; Enterobacterales; Enterobacteriaceae. The record is from RNAcentral. RNAcentral also lists the same sequence under 6 other names.